GAACUUACGCGAUAUCAGUAUCGUAACCAACGAGGUUUAUCCGAGGUGCGAUUAAUGCUAGAUGAAAAUUCCAUUCUUAUUUACGCCUCAUUAUUCCCAUGAAUUGUUCUCUGAGUUUAUAGGCCAUUAUUGGGAGAUAUUAUUAUC
Molecule: small nuclear RNA, 147 nt
Organism: Homarus americanus (American lobster)
Lineage: Eukaryota; Metazoa; Arthropoda; Malacostraca; Decapoda; Nephropidae
Product: U4 spliceosomal RNA
Exons: 1
Source: RefSeq, a predicted model, not a curated record